GGGACAUGAAAACAUGGGAAUGCAAGCAACAGUUCGAAUUUCAUUCAGCUCCAACGCUUGACGUUGACUGGAGAAACAAUGUUUCUUUCGCAACCUGUUCAACAGACAACAUGAUUUACGUCUGCAAGAUAGGCGAGAGUCGGCCAAUCAAGGGUUUCUCAGGACAUCAGGGUGAAGUUAAUGCUAUCAAAUGGGAUCCAACUGGUACAUUGUUGGCGUCAUGCUCUGAUGAUUGGACGGCGAAGAUAUGGAGU
Molecule: unclassified non-coding RNA, 254 nt
Filed under: Hevea brasiliensis (rubber tree)
Lineage: Eukaryota; Viridiplantae; Streptophyta; Magnoliopsida; Malpighiales; Euphorbiaceae
Source: RNAcentral